CAAGGAGCUAGGCCCCUAGAGAGGACACUCAGGGAUGCUUGCCAAGAAAGCAAGUGAACAGCAGGUUGGAAAAUCUGAAAACAAACUUGUCAACAAGGUUAAGGCAGGGAAACAGUCAAGAAAAGGUCAAUAUCGCCUUCCAGUUGUUAGAACCCCAUUUCACCUUGCAAGGAAAAUGUUGAAAAACUUCACGUUAAGCUGCCUGAGGCCGUGGACAACAGCUGGGGCAAACAAGAGACGAACCAAAAAGCUUAGAAGGAGAAGCUAGGGCAUGAGAAGUGCACAGGGACUUUGAAAAGCUCUGAGGUGUUCCUGAGACUCUGGAAGGCCACACACAUGCCAGGGCUGUGCACGUGCUCAGGAAAGACCUGAGAAGGCCUGAGGCCUCACCUCUGACUGACCUUGAGGCUCUGCACAAGCAGGAAGAUUGGUGGCAGUGGUGUGACUGAAAGAGACUUCCGGUGGCAUUUGGGGACAAUGAGAAACACAGUGGUGGUACCUACAAACUCCCUUCUGAAUUCACUGUCUUUCUCCCCAUUUCCGAGGGCUGUGG
This 553-nucleotide long non-coding RNA is filed under the name Equus asinus (donkey). RNAcentral describes it as "lncRNA (ENSEASG00005026624.1)". Lineage: Eukaryota; Metazoa; Chordata; Mammalia; Perissodactyla; Equidae. The record is from RNAcentral.